Penaeus chinensis is the source of this 468-nucleotide long non-coding RNA. RefSeq lists it as uncharacterized. The transcript is spliced from 3 exons. NCBI's taxonomy places the organism in Eukaryota, Metazoa, Arthropoda, Malacostraca, Decapoda, Penaeidae. The record is from RefSeq and is a predicted model, not a curated record.
GAGUGAAAGCGCGUUCUCCUCCGAUGACUCACGCGAAUCUCUCCGUUCGGGAGAGUGAGCAGAAACGAGACCUAAGGAGGGUUGGACACUUUUCCCCAUCAAAACAACACAUUUUCCCUUGUUCCUAAAGGAACGGAGCAUUUCCCAGUAGUGUUGCCGGACCAAAGGGCUCAUCCAGAAUGGGCAAAGUCUUAUCUCUGAUUGGCGUUGUGGCUCUCGUCGCACUGGCUGUCGCUGCCUACCUCUGGUGGCGAAGGCGACGGCAAGCACCAAGAACUGUGGUGGUUACGCAGACAAUAUGACAUCGUUAUUUUAAACAUGUUUUUGAAUCAGUUUUGCUUUCAUAAGGAAUGGGUGUUCUCCUAUAAGAAAUGUGUGUGUUUUUGAGAUUUGUUGUUAUUAUUAUUAUCAUUAUUCAUUGUUAUUAUUGUUUUUAUUACUAUUAUCAUUAUUAUCAUUAUUAUUACU